GUGGAUUAGAUACCCUAGUAGUCCAUGCCGUAAACGUUGGGAACUAGGUGUGGGUCUCAUUCCACGAGAUCCGUGCCGCAGCUAACGCAUUAAGUUCCCCGCCUGGGGAGUACGGCCGCAAGGCUAAAACUCAAAGGAAUUGACGGGGGCCCGCACAAGCGGCGGAGCAUGCGGAUUAAUUCGAUGCAACGCGAAGAACCUUACCAAGGCUUGACAUAUACCGGAAACACUCAGAGAUGGGUGCCCCGCAAGGUCGGUAUACAGGUGGUGCACGGUCGUCGCCAGCU
RNAcentral lists this ribosomal RNA (287 nucleotides) under uncultured bacterium. RNAcentral describes it as "partial 16S ribosomal RNA". It matches the Rfam family "Bacterial small subunit ribosomal RNA", at positions 773 to 1060 of the family's 1533-position model. The record is from RNAcentral.